UACGUAGGGGGCAAGCGUUGUCCGGAAUCAUUGGGCGGAAAGCGCGCGUAGGCGGCCCGGUAAGUCCGUUGUGAAAGUCAAAGGCUCAACCUUUGAACGCCGAUGGAUACUGCCGGGCUAGGGUCCGGAAGAGGCGAGUGGAAUUCCUGGUGUAGCGGUGGAAUGCGCAGAUAUCAGGAGGAACACCAAUAGCGAAGGCAGCUCGCUGGGACGGUACUGACGCUGAGGCGCGAAAGCGUGGGGAGCGAACAGG
RNAcentral lists this ribosomal RNA (253 nucleotides) under uncultured bacterium. Its description in RNAcentral is "partial 16S ribosomal RNA". It matches the Rfam family "Bacterial small subunit ribosomal RNA", at positions 524 to 776 of the family's 1533-position model. The record is from RNAcentral.